AGAGUUUGAUCAUGGCUCAGGAUGAACGCUGGCGGUAGGUCUGACACAUGCAAGUCGAACGGUAAGGGUGGCUUCGGCCGCCCCUAGAGUGGCGAACGGCUGAGUAACACGUAGGAACCUACCCCCCGGUUCGGGACAACAAGCCGAAAGGCUUGCUAAUACCGGAUAUAUUCUUCGGAAGGAAAGGCUUGCUGCCGGGGGAGGGGCCUGCGGCCUAUUAGCUUGUUGGUGAGGUAACGGCUCACCAAGGCUAUGAUGGGUAGCUGGUCUGAGAGGACGAUCAGCCAGACUGGGACUGAGACACGGCCCAGACUCCUACGGGAGGCAGCAGUUCAGAAUCUUGCCCAAUGGACGAAAGUCUGAGGCAGCCAUACCGCGUGUGCGAAGAAGGCCUUCGGGUCGUAAAGCACUGUCAGAGGGGAAGAUUAUGACGGUACCCUCAAAGGAAGCCACGGCUAACUACGUGCCAGCAGCCGCGGUAAUACGUAGGUGGCGAGCGUUAUCCGGAAUCACUGGGCGUAAAGCGUUCGUAGGCGGCAAGGUAAGCCAGAUUUGAAAUCCCGGGGCUCAACUCCGGACCCGGAUCUGGAACUACCCUGCUUGAGCAGAUCAGAGGGCAGUGGAAUUCCCGGUGUAGCGGUAAUAUGCGUAGAUAUCGGGAGGAACACCAGUGGCGAAGGCGACUGCCUGGGGUCUUGCUGACGCUGAGGAACGAAAGCGUGGGGAGCAAACAGGAUUAGAUACCCUAGUAGUCC
This 755-nucleotide ribosomal RNA is filed under the name uncultured bacterium. RNAcentral's name for it is "bacterial SSU rRNA". It matches the Rfam family "Bacterial small subunit ribosomal RNA", at positions 8 to 796 of the family's 1533-position model. The record is from RNAcentral.